This 572-nucleotide ribosomal RNA is filed under the name Acinetobacter sp. HPC62. RNAcentral's name for it is "bacterial SSU rRNA". It matches the Rfam family "Bacterial small subunit ribosomal RNA", at positions 31 to 597 of the family's 1533-position model. The record is from RNAcentral. Lineage: Bacteria; Pseudomonadati; Pseudomonadota; Gammaproteobacteria; Moraxellales; Moraxellaceae.
GAACGCCGGCGGCAGGCUUAACACAUGCAAGUCGAGCGGAGAGAGGUAGCUUGCUACUGAUCUUAGCGGCGGACGGGUGAGUAAUGCUUAGGAAUCUGCCUAUUAGUGGGGGACAACAUUUCGAAAGGAAUGCUAAUACCGCAUACGUCCUACGGGAGAAAGCAGGGGAUCUUCGGACCUUGCGCUAAUAGAUGAGCCUAAGUCGGAUUAGCUAGUUGGUGGGGUAAAGGCCUACCAAGGCGACGAUCUGUAGCGGGUCUGAGAGGAUGAUCCGCCACACUGGGACUGAGACACGGCCCAGACUCCUACGGGAGGCAGCAGUGGGGAAUAUUGGACAAUGGGCGCAAGCCUGAUCCAGCCAUGCCGCGUGUGUGAAGAAGGCCUUAUGGUUGUAAAGCACUUUAAGCGAGGAGGAGGCUACUUUAGUUAAUACCUAGAGAUAGUGGACGUUACUCGCAGAAUAAGCACCGGCUAACUCUGUGCCAGCAGCCGCGGUAAUACAGAGGGUGCAAGCGUUAAUCGGAUUUACUGGGCGUAAAGCGCGCGUAGGCGGCUAAUUAAGUCAAAUGUGA